This 53-nucleotide transfer RNA is filed under the name Batocera lineolata. RNAcentral's name for it is "tRNA-Ala". Lineage: Eukaryota; Metazoa; Arthropoda; Insecta; Coleoptera; Cerambycidae. The record is from RNAcentral.
AAUUAUAACAUUUAAUUUGCACUUAAAAAAUAUUGAAUAUUCAAUUUAUCUUU